This 294-nucleotide unclassified non-coding RNA is filed under the name plant metagenome. Its description in RNAcentral is "partial contains small subunit ribosomal RNA, internal transcribed spacer 1, and 5.8S ribosomal RNA". The stretch from base 1 to 54 matches the Rfam family "Eukaryotic small subunit ribosomal RNA", at positions 1778 to 1831 of the family's 1831-position model. The record is from RNAcentral.
GGAGGUAAAAGUCGUAACAAGGUUUCCGUAGGUGAACCUGCGGAAGGAUCAUUAAUGAGUUGUCAUGGGGUUCGAUGCUGGCAGCCAGUUUUUGGAUGCAUGUGCUUGCCCUAACAAUCAUCUUCUUCCAAACACCUGUGCACAUUUUUGAGGGAGUCUUGAGUUGGUUGCCGCUCUUGGGUGAUUUUCUCACAUUCCCUUAAAUCAUUAUACGCUAUUAACAAUGUUGAACGUGCUCUGUGCCGCAAGGCCAUUAAUAUAAUACAACUUUUAACAACGGAUCUCUUGGCUCUC